This 292-nucleotide ribosomal RNA is filed under the name uncultured bacterium. RNAcentral describes it as "partial 16S ribosomal RNA". It matches the Rfam family "Bacterial small subunit ribosomal RNA", at positions 505 to 796 of the family's 1533-position model. The record is from RNAcentral.
GUGUCAGCCGCCGCGGUAAUACGAGAGGUCCUAGCGUUAAUCGGAAUCACUGGGCUUAAAGGGUGCGUAGGCGGGCCUGUAAGUGCUUUGUGAAAUCCCAUGGCUCAACCAUGGAAUUGCAGGGCAUACUGCAGGUCUUGAGGAAUCUAGAGGCCGGCGGAACGAUAGGUGGAGCGGUGGAAUGCGUAGAUAUCUAUCGGAACGCCAAAGGUGAAGACAGCCGGCUGGGGAUUUCCUGACGCUGAGGCACGAAAGCGUGGGGAUCAAACAGGAUUAGAUACCCUCGUAGUCC